Molecule: unclassified non-coding RNA, 392 nt
Filed under: Hevea brasiliensis (rubber tree)
Lineage: Eukaryota; Viridiplantae; Streptophyta; Magnoliopsida; Malpighiales; Euphorbiaceae
Source: RNAcentral
UCAAAAAGACCUGCCUGCAAGCGCUGCUUCAAUACCUCACAGGGGAUUCGGACUGCUGUCCCCAAAAAUGUGCUGCAGAAUGAUGAUACAGACUGAACCUGUAUGUCUGGGAGUGUUGGAGCAACAUUUAUAAGCAGAAGUUUACUAGCUUCAAAUAUCCCAGUUCGCAGGCCAUGGCUUGAAAACUGUCCUAGGAUUGCAGGGAUUGAACCCCUGUAUAAUCCCUUAACUCCAAUUUCUGGAAGCUUUGAAAUGAUCUCUGGGAAAGUAAGGGUUGAUGCUUGCACCCGAGUCUUUAUUGUAUCAACAGGAUGCAUCAGAGCACAAGAGAGUGCACAUGAUAUCCCCCCAGCCAAUGCAGAUCUUAGAACACUUCCAGCUGGUAUCUCCAC